UACGUAGGGUGCGAGCGUUGUCCGGAAUUAUUGGGCGUAAAGAGCUCGUAGGCGGUUUGUCGCGUCUGCUGUGAAAACUCAGGGCUUAACCCUGAGCCUGCAGUGGGUACGGGCAGACUAGAGUGUGGUAGGGGAGACUGGAAUUCCUGGUGUAGCGGUGGAAUGCGCAGAUAUCAGGAGGAACACCGGUGGCGAAGGCGGGUCUCUGGGCAGUAACUGACGCUGAGGAGCGAAAGCGUGGGGGAGCGAACAGG
This 254-nucleotide ribosomal RNA is filed under the name uncultured bacterium. RNAcentral describes it as "partial 16S ribosomal RNA". It matches the Rfam family "Bacterial small subunit ribosomal RNA", at positions 524 to 776 of the family's 1533-position model. The record is from RNAcentral.